CCAGACUCCUACGGGAGGCAGCAGUGGGGGAUAUUGCACAAUGGGGGGAACCCUGAUGCAGCGACGCCGCGUGGGCGAGGAAGUAUUUCGGUAUGUAAAGCCCUAUCGGCAGGGAAGAAGAAAUGACGGUACCUGAAUAAGAAGCACCGGCUAAAUACGUGCCAGCAGCCGCGGUAAUACGUAUGGUGCAAGCGUUAUCCGGAUUUACUGGGUGUAAAGGGCGUGUAGCCGGGUUGACAAGUCAGAUGUGAAAUCCUGCGGCUUAACCGCAGAACUGCAUUUGAAACUGUUGAUCUUGAGUACUGGAGAGGCAGACGGAAUUCCUAGUGUAGCGGUGAAAUGCGUAGAUAUUAGGAGGAACACCAGUGGCG
This 371-nucleotide ribosomal RNA is filed under the name uncultured bacterium. RNAcentral's name for it is "partial 16S ribosomal RNA". It matches the Rfam family "Bacterial small subunit ribosomal RNA", at positions 331 to 717 of the family's 1533-position model. The record is from RNAcentral.